GACUCGGACCCAUGCGGCUCCGACGCCUAAACCUGGUCAGAUCCGGAAGGCAGCAGCCACACGGGAUGCUCGAGGCAGGCGUGGACUCCGGGUCACC
Synechococcus sp. RCC307 is the source of this 97-nucleotide non-coding RNA. It matches the Rfam family "Bacterial small signal recognition particle RNA". Rfam says of the family: The signal recognition particle (SRP) is a universally conserved ribonucleoprotein involved in the co-translational targeting of proteins to membranes. Archaeal SRP consists of a 7S RNA and homologues of the eukaryotic SRP19 and SRP54 proteins. Lineage: Bacteria; Bacillati; Cyanobacteriota; Cyanophyceae; Synechococcales; Synechococcaceae. The record is from Rfam.